AUCUGGAGAUUCCUGCCUGCCUGAGGCCUUUUGAAGGUCAAGAUACGCAGGAUACAUUUCCUGUAAGCGUCUAUUGAAGUGCUCUUCCUUUCUAUACAAGCGACUAGGUAUUGUAGAUAAACUCAAGACCAGAUCUACUACGAUGAUAUACAGGCUACAGAAAGGCCUUCUGUGGAACUUAAACCAACUCUAGUCAGAGGCAGAUGGGCAGUUUGACAAUAUGGCAUAUGGAAGUGCAUAUGAAGCAAAGUAUCUAAAAAUGUGAGGAUGCAGAAAAAAACUUCAACUCCUGGUGGAAAAGCAUGACUAGAAUGCAUAGUUGGGAAGCAAGUGAAGCUCCUUAAUACUUUGCUGCCAUCGUGUGGCUGAAGAGAUAAAUAAAACAGGGAGGAAGAUCAGCUAACAGGCCUGAGUAACCUGACGGGAAGACAGAGGAGCUUGCAUAGAAAAUGAAGAUAAGUAAUAAUUUGCCAAUAAGCUGAAUGACUGGAGAGCAAUACUGAACUAUUUUUUGGUCACUGCCCUUUCUUGAUAACUCUCUAAGACACCAGUGUUUAAACAGUGUCAUCUCCAGGCAACAUUUAUCACCCCUUCAGCUAGCAGAAGUAUGGAUUUCAUUCAAUACUUUUCAGCACAAAGCUCUAAAAAAUAGUUCUACAACUCCACCAGUAGUUUGCUCUUCAAAGAAAAACCAGAAAUACCGGAUUUUAGUGUCACAGCAGCAUUUAUCUUGACAAAUCUAAAGCUGCUGAACAGCCAAUUGAAAUUUGAUAAAGGACAAUAAACUAUGGCAGCAUUGCUGUGUUAAUACUGGCCAUAGUCCACUACACAAGACAGUUAAAGAGAAUUAAUGUCAUCUAAUUUUCAGUGCCAACAACCAUCAUGGCCAGAAUUUCCUCUGUAAGACUGAUGAGUAAUCUUACCUUCCUUAUGAAGUUCAUUUCUAUGUCACUGGUGCCAAAUGAGUCCAUAGAACUUUCAAUGAACUCGUAAGGAGAUGCCCAAAAUCUAGAGGAAAGAUUAGUUAGACAGAAGGAAAAAUUAUCUGAAGGGGAUGUCGGAAAAAAAUCAACUAUGAGAAAAUAGCUUAAUGCGGUUAAUAUAUGUUAUUUCCCUAAGAAAGAAUUUGUUUAGUUCUCAGAAGCCUUUUCAAAAAUUGUUAUUUAUCUUUUGGUCUAAAACAUAGUUUUCUCAGUACAUACUUAACAAUUUACAGUGCUAUGGUACAAUGGUCUUUUACUCUUCUGCCUUCUCUUAAUUAGAAAAUGAGAAAUUACAAAUGUUGAACACUGUAAAGUGUUUCUACAUCGCUUUCUGAUAGAUAUUUUGAGCAGUCAUUCUGGGAGAUUUAUGGUUGAUAUUGAGCUUGUUUUUUGGUGAGACUCAAGUCAGAGGGGACUUUGUUCUUAAAGAACAUUUCAAUCCCAGCAUGGUAGUAUGGAUAUCACUGGAUUUUGUCUGGUUUAGAUAUUCAUUUAUUGUACACAUUCGUAUUGUACACAGAUAAGAAGUACAUCGACAGACUGAAUACUCAAGUAUUCUGUUCCAUGAAAAUAACGGUUUCCAAAUAUUGCCAAAUUACAUUAUGUUUCUUAUGUAACAUAUGAUCAAAAGCCAUAUAUCACUUUUAAAUUUUCAAUGGAUUCUCCCCUACGUACAAUUUUCUUCUAUAAUUCGACUUGCAUGUUCAUGAGCCACUUCUUUCGCAGAUAAAAUCCAAUGUCU
Gallus gallus (chicken) is the source of this 1725-nucleotide long non-coding RNA. The record is from Ensembl. NCBI's taxonomy places the organism in Eukaryota, Metazoa, Chordata, Aves, Galliformes, Phasianidae.